This 253-nucleotide ribosomal RNA is filed under the name uncultured bacterium. Its description in RNAcentral is "partial 16S ribosomal RNA". It matches the Rfam family "Bacterial small subunit ribosomal RNA", at positions 524 to 776 of the family's 1533-position model. The record is from RNAcentral.
UACAGAGGUCUCAAGCGUUGUUCGGAUUCAUUGGGCGUAAAGGGUGCGUAGGUGGCGGGGUUAGUCAGGUGUGAAAUCUCGGAGCUCAACUCCGAAACUGCACUUGAUACUGCCUUGCUAGAGUACUGGAGAGGAGAUUGGAAUUUACGGUGUAGCAGUGAAAUGCGUAGAUAUCGUAAGGAAGACCAGUGGCGAAGGCGAGUCUCUGGACAGUUACUGACGCUGAGGCACGAAGGCCAGGGGAGCAAACGGG